UACGUAGGGGGCAAGCGUUGUCCGGAUUUAUUGGGCGUAAAGAGCGUGUAGGCGGCCAGAUAGGUCGGUUGUGAAAACUGGAGGCUCAACCUCCAGACGUCGACCGAAACCAUCUGGCUAGAGUCCGGAAGAGGAGAGUGGAAUUCCUGGUGUAGCGGUGAAAUGCGCAGAUAUCAGGAGGAACACCGGUGGCGAAGGCGGAUCUCUGGGCCUUACCUGACGCUCAGGUGCGAAAGCUAGGGGAGCGAACAGG
Molecule: ribosomal RNA, 253 nt
Filed under: uncultured bacterium
Lineage: Bacteria
Description: partial 16S ribosomal RNA
Rfam family: Bacterial small subunit ribosomal RNA
Source: RNAcentral